UUGACACAGAACUAAAGUUCUUCAAAUAAACUACAGUGGCUGGUUUUAGACUUUUCACUGGAAGACUGCAGAGUUCUUCAAGCCUUGAAAGAAAGUCUUCGCACUUGUGAAUUUGCAGGAAAAACAUUUCUAGAGGAAAAAAUGUUACUUGCUAGCUGUAUCCAGUUAACAAAUUACUUUCCUUUGUCCAAUCUUGUGGUGUUCCUGUUUAUGUAUGUAUAUAGUGAAAGGAGAAAGUCACUGACUGGUCCAAUUACUGUGUGCAUGCUGGCUAAUUUAGUACGGAAUGUUUAAAUACGUAUGUUGGGCAACCAAUUAAAGCAAAGAUUAACUUCAUCAGGC
This is a long non-coding RNA of Pterocles gutturalis (yellow-throated sandgrouse), 342 nucleotides long. RefSeq lists it as uncharacterized. The transcript has 2 exons. The record is from RefSeq and is a predicted model, not a curated record. NCBI's taxonomy places the organism in Eukaryota, Metazoa, Chordata, Aves, Pterocliformes, Pteroclidae.